Long non-coding RNA from Helianthus annuus (common sunflower), 188 nucleotides. RefSeq lists it as uncharacterized. The record is from RefSeq and is a predicted model, not a curated record. NCBI's taxonomy places the organism in Eukaryota, Viridiplantae, Streptophyta, Magnoliopsida, Asterales, Asteraceae. The transcript is spliced from 3 exons.
UGGCCGCUAGACCGCGAGCUCGUAAGCAGGCAUACACUAUGGAACUGGAAGCCGAAGUGGCUAAACUGAAAGAACAGAAUCAAGAAUUGAAAAGAAAGGCUGAGAUGAUGGAAAAGCAACAGAAUCAGGCAAAGCAAUGUUUAUAGAACAAAGAAUGGUCCAACCUCUUCGAUAUCGUCGCCGAUGAU